AAAAUGCUGGAAUUACAGGCGUGAGCCACCGCACCCAGCCAACAUUUAUUUUUUUAAAAAAGAUCUUGUCAAUUCUAGCUCACAUUGUUUAUUAGGCAACAGAAAGUUGUUCAAAGACAGUCGUUGCAAAUGUUACCAUGUGUUACAUAAAAGAAAUUUCAGAAAAUGUGCUUUUGCAGUUGAAAAGGAUUUAUUCUUCCCCUUGGAGGAACGAAUUAGGGACUCAGAACUGCAAGCAACAGAGGCCAACCCCCAGCCUGGAGACUCUGGCCUGGGCUUCUUGCAACCCUAUGCCCCGCCACAAUACGGGCCACCAUGCUAGCUUGCUCACAUUGAGACUACCAGUCUCCAUGUUUUAAAUUAGUCAUUUUUCUUCCUUUUGGUGAGUUCUGUAAGGUUCAAUAAGUAACCUCUCAUCAAUAUUUAUUGCUGGAGAAAGAACUGAAAACUGUGAGUUUGCAUCAAACAAACACUACUGUGUAUAGUAGCAGUGCUGCAAGAAGUAGAACAAGAGCUAUCUGGACAUUCAUCCACAGAGAGUUUGAUUGAUUUGGUGGCUGGGAGAUGAGGGCAUUCCUUGUGAUUGCUUCUGUUUAUGCCAGUGGAGACAAAGUGGUCAGCUGAUGGUGAGGGAAGGAAAGGGAGUAUAGACAGUUUGAGGAGAGAGGACAAUGUGUGAUAUAGCCUCUUUUAGACAGUGGGAAAGGAAACAUCGUAGGAAAUUUCCUCCCAGGGAAUAUUUAAUGAUCCUUUGAGAUUUGUAUAUGUGAAUUCAAUCAGCAUGGUUGAGGCUGUUUUUUAUUUUGUUUCAGGAAUGCUCAGCUUUGUGGUGCAAACACAAAGUAGAAGAGAGCGGGGCUUAACUAGGGAUUAGAGCAUUGCUAGGAGAGUCCAAUAGUGGGAUCAAGCAUCAGGAGAAUGAUUCUAAUGAAGGACCAUGGGUUCUAAGCUGAAUAAGGGGAGAAGGGAGGAACUGAGUCAGGUAAUCUGUAGUGGAAAGUGGAAGUCAGUUGAUUGGAAUACACUAGUCAAGCAGUUGCUCUAGUGCACUCAAGUGAGUGGGCUGGAAGGCUAGUAAGGGAGGGGUGGAGUGUGAGAGAGGGGGAGGUUCCAAGCUGAGAUUGGGAUGCUGUGCAGAACCAAGGAUAUCAAGGUCAUUAAUAUAGCCACAAGAAUGAGAGAUAAAGACAACUGAGUAAAAGCCAAGUCAAACAAGCAAUUUUUGGCGUUAUCUAGUCUCUUCUCUGCACAUUGGUCUCCAAUAUGUAACUAUUUUACCGUUGCAUGGUAACAGGAGACUUGGCAGUUCUCAGAGGACUUACCUUCCUGUUUAUGAAAGAGCGGUGAACUCAGAGGUUAUCACUGGUAGGUAGAUGGUUAACACACAGUAAAUAGACCUAUAAUUUAGAUGGGAGUGAUCAUAGGACAAAGCAUUCUGGCAGUGUUAUAAAACUCCAGGGAAAUCAAGAGGCUAAAUGUGACUUGGAAGGCUGCAAACAAUAAAGGUGGCAAAAAAGGA
Macaca mulatta (Rhesus monkey) is the source of this 1519-nucleotide long non-coding RNA. RefSeq lists it as uncharacterized. The record is from RefSeq and is a predicted model, not a curated record. Lineage: Eukaryota; Metazoa; Chordata; Mammalia; Primates; Cercopithecidae.